UAAGGAAUAUUGGACAAUGGGGGAAACCCUGAUCCAGCCAUGCCGCGUGAAUGAAGAAGGCCUUAGGGUUGUAAAGUUCUUUUAGUGGUGACGAUAAUGACGGUAGCCACAGAAAAAGCUCCGGCUAACUCCGUGCCAGCAGCCGCGGUAAUACGGAGGGAGCGAGCGUUGUUCGGAAUUACUGGGCGUAAAGCGUGCGCAGGCGGAUUUCCAAGUCAGGAGUGAAAUCCCAGGGCUUAACCCUGGAAUUGCUUUUGAAACUGGAUGUCUGGAGUCUCGGAGAGGUUGGUGGAAUUCCCAGUGUAGAGGUGAAAUUCGUAGAUAUUGGGAGGAACACCAGUGGCGCAAGCGGCCAACUGGACGAGUACUGACGCUCAUGCACGAAAGUGUGGGGAUCAAACAG
RNAcentral lists this ribosomal RNA (403 nucleotides) under uncultured bacterium. Its description in RNAcentral is "bacterial SSU rRNA". It matches the Rfam family "Bacterial small subunit ribosomal RNA", at positions 355 to 775 of the family's 1533-position model. The record is from RNAcentral.